GUGUCAGCCGCCGCGGUAAUACGGAGGGUGCAAGCGUUAUCCGGAUUCACUGGGUUUAAAGGGUGCGUAGGCGGGUAGGUAAGUCAGUGGUGAAAUCCUGGAGCUCAACUCCAGGACUGCCAUUGAUACUAGCUAUCUUGAAUAUUGUGGAGGUAAGCGGAAUAUGUCAUGUAGCGGUGAAAUGCUUAGAUAUGACAUAGAACACCCAUUGCGAAGGCAGCUUACUACGCAUAUAUUGACGCUGAGGCACGAAAGCGUGGGGAUCAAACAGGAUUAGAAACCCGGGUAGUCC
Molecule: ribosomal RNA, 292 nt
Filed under: uncultured Sediminibacterium sp.
Lineage: Bacteria; Pseudomonadati; Bacteroidota; Chitinophagia; Chitinophagales; Chitinophagaceae
Description: partial 16S ribosomal RNA
Rfam family: Bacterial small subunit ribosomal RNA
Source: RNAcentral